RNAcentral lists this long non-coding RNA (6913 nucleotides) under Sus scrofa (pig). RNAcentral describes it as "lncRNA (ENSSSCG00035045260.1)". The record is from RNAcentral. Lineage: Eukaryota; Metazoa; Chordata; Mammalia; Artiodactyla; Suidae.
AUGCUGACUCCCAGCUCUCUUUCUUACCUACUUAACAUAAAACAUUGUGCAGCCUCCCAUUUAUUCAUUUUCUUCCUUUUAAAUAUCCAUAUAUCCUCUCAUUUACCAACUCUUAAUCUCACUUUCUGAUUUUCCUCUCCUCUAUUUGAAUAAAAUUCCACAUGAAUUUUAUUGUUCACAUAUUGGUUUUUCUUCUCUCUUUUGGAGGGCCUCCAUUCUAAACUUUGAUCUCACAAUCUCUCUGAGAAGUAUAUUUUCUGAGUGAGGUCUCUUUGUCCCAAAAGGCUUUUGGUUCUGUAGAAAAAGAGAGAGAGAUUAGAGCCUGCACCCGUCUUGGUAGUAGAUGUUCCUCUUAACAGCAGGAGCAAUUUUGGUGGCACUAUUCUAGUAAAUGGAAUGUAGGCUAGUCUUGAACAACUUUUUUUUUUGUCUCUUGUCUUUUUAGGGCUGCACCCACAGCAUAUGGGGAUUCCCAGGCUAGGCAUCUAUCAGAGCUAUAGCUGCCACCCUAUGCCACAGCAGCAGCAAUGCCAGAUCCGAGCCACAUCUGUGACCUACACCACAGCUCACAGCAAUGCCGGAUCCUCAACCCACUCAGCAAGGCCAGGGAUGGAACCUACAACCCCAUGGUUCCUAGUUGGAUUUGUUUCCACUGCUCCAUGACAGGAAUUCCUUGAACCACUUACUUUUGAUUUAGAGAUUAUCUCCAACUGAAUUACUGUCUUAGACAUAACACAUCCACUCAAGUAAAUGUAAAUAGGUUAGAUAAUUUGUAGGGAACCUGCUUAAAUAAGACCCUUUUAGGAAUCUGUCUUACUCUACGCUCUUGGCUCUGAAAGCCAAGGCUUGGACAAGGAUUUGCGUACAAGCAGUUUAUUGGAAAAUGUCAUACCAGGGAGCACGAGUAUAAGACCAGAUGCAUACAAAAGGGAAGAAGGAUAAGCCAGUGCAAGAAUGCCUCAUCAAGGCAGCCAGCCCUAUGGAUGACAUAUGUCUCACCCCACCAGGAUCUCCAGAGGCAUCUUCUAAAAGGUAUCUCAGAACUAUGUAUCUAGGGCAAAAAGCAUUUGCCCAUGGGUUUCUAUUUCUCAUUGGUCAAACAGGACCUGGAAACAUUGCUCCCAAAAGCUUCAUGUGCCCCUAUUUGAAAACAUAGCAGGUGCUGUGUGACCCUUGAGACUUAUGGGGAGAAUGGCCAGCGCCUACACUAGCCUCACGUCCUUAUGUAUUUCUGAGCCAGUUCCCGUGCCUGCAUAUCCUUAAAGACCACUGCUCCCUUUUUUUUUUUGCGAUUUUAUGAGUGGAAUGGUUUUUCAAAACAAACAAGAAAAUACUUAAUUAAUAGAGUUUAGGUACAUUUUCCAGAGAAGAAUUCAAUUAAUUUUUAGUAUUUUCAACUAACAGGUUUUCACUAGUUAACAUUACCAUUCAAAGAACAUUUCAAGAGAGUUUUAAUCUAGAUUGUUCCCAGGCUAGGAUCUGAAUAGGAGCUGCGGCUACUGGCCUACACCGCAGGCACAGCAACUUGGCAUCUGAGCCACGUCUGUGACCUACACCACAGCUCACAGCAAUGCUGUAUCCUUAACCUACUGAGCAAGACCAGGGAUCCAGACCCACAUCUUCAUGGAUACUAGUCAGGUUCUUAACCUGCUGAGCCAUGACAGGAACUCCAUAAAAUUUGUAGUUUUUUAUGAUAUAAAUUUUUAAAUUCUCUAAAAUGCCAUUAUGUAUAGCUAAGGUCUUAUCUACAUUAGGUAUGUCUUCAGUUAUUGAUGGGUUUUAGUAAUAGUGUGAAGGUCUGAUCUUUGGCAACUAGUACAGACCUACACAUUUUAUUUAAAAGUGAAUUUUAAAUGUGUGUGUCACAAAAGUACCACCAUUGGCAGGAUAAUACGUCUAUUUUUCCUUUUGAUUAAUACAAAGCAACAUAAUUUAUUUUUGAUCCUUUCAGAUAGUCAAGAGCAUUUUUAUGCAGUUACAAAGUGUUCUCUCUCUCACUCUCACUUUCUCUCAUAUAUGAUCUGAUUGAAAAUUUCGUGAGACUUUUAGAAUCCCUAUUAGGACAAGAUGUAGUAGUGAUGAUAGGAGAAGUAGGCUUAAAAGUGAUAGCUUUGCAAAAACAAAAAAUAACACAUAUAUAUAUGUACAUUUGAAAAUAUAUUUGCACUCCAACAUUCAUAGCAUCAUUAUUUAUAAUUAAUAAGAUAUGGAGGCAACGAGUGUCCUUCAACAGAAGAAUGGAUUAAGAAAAUGUCAUAUACACAACGGAGUAUUACUCUGCCAUAAAAAGAAUGGAUUUUUGCCAUUUGCAUGUAGCAGCAUGGGUGGACUUGGAGGGCAUUAGGCUAAGUGAAAUAACUCAGACAAAGAAAGACAAAUACUGUAUGAUAGCACUUACAUAUGGAAUCUAAAAAAAUACAACAAAGUAGUAAAUGUAACAAAAAGAAGCAGACUCAUAAAGAACAAAUUAGUGGUUACCAGUGGGGAGGAGGAGAGGGAAUAUAGCGUUCAGUAAGGGGAAGGUACAAACUGGUGGGUGUAAGAUAGAUAGGCUCAAGGAUGUAUUGUACAACAUGGAGAAUAUAGCCAAUAUUUUAUAAUAACUCAAUUUUGUAUUUUAUAAUACAAUUCCCUUAAAAUUGUAUAGAGAUUAAUAAUAUUUUUUCAAAAAAUGUGAAAGUGAUGAUGUUGUCAUUAUACUUUGUAAUCAUUUAGGGAAUCCAAGCAUGUGAAAAUUUCCAGAGCCCCUACUGAUUAAUAUUGGAAAUAAUCUUGUUCUGCUCCCUGAAGAGAUUUAAUAUAGUAUGUCUUUCUUAGAAACUAAGUUUACACAGGAGCAAUUAAAUUACUACGGAAGAUUGAAUGAUUGUCAAUAAGUAUUUGCUCUUCACCACCACCACUCAGUUGACUUGCUCUGGCUGAUAAAAUGUGGAUGAAAUAACAUACACAUUUGGAGCUUAGGAGUAAGAGGCAUUACAUGUUUCUGAUUUUCCCUCUGGAAGCUCCUGAUCUCUGCCUUGAGAGGAACAAACCCCUCCUGCCUUGGCCCCUGAUGAGAUACAGAGUAGAACUGAAGUCAGUCGCAAGCUGGAGCCAAGCGCACUACCUGAAACCUUUAGGAGAACCUUCCAUCAGAGCCCAAUCUGAGCUGUUGUCCACCAUGCUGACUGCAAGCAUGACAAUAAUUGCUUGCUACUCAAAGCCACUGGUAUGUAGGUAGUUUGCUAUAUAACUGUAUUUUGAGAAAAGCUGACUGAAGCAGUUGUUCACACAGACAAACCUACAGAGACAAUUUUACAUUUGUAAUAAUUUUCAGUAUAUACGUGGCACAAAAAUCUGGGUCUUUGGGAUGGGACCUGAUAACAGAUUAAAUAGGAAUUAGGAAUGUGAAUUGCGGGAUCAGAUUAAGCCAAGUUUCUACUCUGUGUUUGUUAGCUGGUAACUGUCUGAGCAAGUUCUCUGAACUCGAGUUUUCUUAUCCAUAUAGUGAGAAUUAAGGAAGAUAAUGCAGAUAAAGUACUUAGCACAGGGUCUGCUUCACAGUAAGUGAAGCACGUUUGGAAGAUCUUAUGAUCUUACUGUCAUACUAUCUUAUCUUAUGAUUGUUAGGUUGCACGUAAUGGAUCAGCACAGUUAUGUACAGCUGGAUUAUCACUUAAACUGACCCUCUCUUUGACGUUUAUUAGCUCAAGCUACGUGGCCCUGGUCCUUUCUAAAGUCUAAUGCUUUUUCCGAGAUUUUUGUGAAUUCCUGCAGGAUUUAUUUGCAUGGCUACCUCUCCGCUGGAUUCCACUGGGCUGAGUCUCAUGUACAGUUUAUCAACCCUGAUUUUCUUCUUUCUCUCCGCCAUGCCAGUUCAGCCAUGGAAUUCAAUUCCUUUUCUUUGAUUUACAUGACAAAAGCACUCUGAAGUCUUUUAUGUAUAGCAGAUUACUCAAGGCUUGCAUCAGAGGAGACGGUUUACCUCAAAACAAGUGAUUAUAUUUGAUUUUUCCAUAACUCUGAUCUUUAAAGUCUUCUGACUUUCCUACUCAUGGAUUUCCCAGUGGCAGCUUGUCUCCAUAGGGCCCACUCCUUCCCUCUCUACUCCUUGUCCUCUCUCCUCUUAGCUUUCCCCUAAUUCCUCUUAUUUUCUCAUGCAGACACUUAACUAUCAUGUUUUUCUUUAAUUGUUCCUUGUUUUUAUGCAUGUAACAUGUUUUUAUGUAACAUUUUCUGCCGUGUUAAACGUUAAAAUAACUAUCUACCCUCAUCAUACCUGCAAUGUCAUUUUUUAAAAUUAUUUUUUGUAUCUUAUUGGAGUAUAAUUUACUUACAACAUUGCAUUAGUUUCAAGUGUACAGCAAAGUGAAUCAGUUAUGCAUAUAAAUAUAUCCAGUCUUUUUUUUCCCAUAUAGGUUAUUACAAACUGAAUAGAUUUUCCUAUGCUAUACAGUAGGUUCUCAUUAAUCAUCUGUUUUAUACAGAAGUGUAUAUAUGUUAUUCCCACCCUCCCAGUUACUCCCACCCACAAUGGUUUCACUUGUGGUAAACGUAAGAUUGGUUUUGAAAUCUCUGAGUUUGUUUCUGUUUUAUAAAUAAGUAUCUCUUAUUUUUAGCUCUCAGGGCAUAUGGAAGUUCCUGGGCCAGGGUUCAAAUCCAAGCCACAGCUGCAACAACACCAGAUCCUUUAACCUAUCCUUCUGGGCCUAGGUUUGAACCUGUGCCACCACAGAGACAGCACCAGAACCUUAAUGCAGUGUGCCACAACAGAAAAUCCCUCUUUUAUAUCAUUUUUAUUAGAUUCCACAUAUAAGUGAAAUCACAUAUUUGUAUUCCUCUGUCUGAAUUAACUUCACUCAGUAGGAUGAUCUCUAGGUCUAUCCAUGAUGCUGCAAAUGGCAUUAUUUCAUUCUUUUUGCGUCCAAGUAAUAUUCUGUUGUGUAUAUGUACCACAUCCUCUUUAUCCAUUCCUCCUUCGAUAGACGUUUAGGUUGCUUCUUUGUCUUGGCUAUUGUAAAUGUUGCUGCAGUGAACAUAGGGGUUCACUAUGUUCACUAUGUUCAAAAGAGCUGAAAACUCUUUUCAAAUUAGAGUUUUCUUUGGAUAUAUGCCCAGGAAUGGGAUUGCUGGAUCAUAUGAUAGUUCUGUAUUUAGUUUUUUAAGGAACCUCCAUACUGUCCUCCAUAGCAGUUGUAUCAAUUUACUUUCCCACCAAUAGUGUGAGAGGGUUCCCUUUUCUCCACAUGUUCUCCAGCAGUUAUUGUUUGUAGACUUUGAUGAUGCCAUUCUGACUGGUGUGAGAUGAUACUUCUUUGUAAUUUUGACUUGUACCUCUCUAAUAAUUAGCGACAUUGAGCAUCUUUGUUGUUGUUGUUGUUGUUGUUUAGGGCCACACCCACGGCAUAAGGAGGUUUUCAGGCUCGUGGUCUAAUCAAAGCUACCUACAGCUGCCAGGCUACACCACAGCUCACAGCAACGCCAGAUCCUUAACCCACUGAGCAAGGCUAGGGAUCGAACCCACGACCUCAUGGUUCCUAGUCAGAUUCGUUUCUACUGUGCCACAACAGGAACUACAUUGAGCAUCUUUUCAUGUGUUCUUUGGCCAUCUGUCUGUCUUCUUUGAAGAAAAGUCUGUCUAGAUCUUUUGACACUUUUUUGAUUGGGUUGUCUUUUUGAUAUAAAGUUGUGUGAGAUGUUUGUAUAUUUUGGAGAUUAAUCACUUGAUUCAUUUGCAAAGAUUUUUCUCAUUCUGUGGGUUGUCUUUUCAUUUUUUUUAUGGUUUCUUUUUCUGUGAAAAAGCUUUUAACUUUAAUUAGGUCUUAUUGGUUUCUUUUUGGUUUUAUUUUCAUUUUUCUAGAAGGUGAAUCAAAUAAGAUAUUGCUACAACUUACGUCAAAUAGUGUUCUGCUUAUGUUUUCAUCUAGGAAUUUUAUAGUAUCUGGCCACAUGCUUAUGCCAUAAAUACAUUUCAAGUUUAUUUUGUAUAUGGUGUUAGAGAAUGUUCUGAUUUCAUUCUUUUAUAUGUAGCUGUCCAGUUUUCCCAGCCACACUUAUCGAAGAGACUGUCUCUCCUCCACCACUGCAGUGUCAUUUUAAAAAGAUGGUAUGAGGAAGUUCCCACUGUGGCUCAGCGGUAAUAAGCCCAACUAGUGUCCAUGAGGAUGUGGGUUCAAUCCCUAACCUCACUCACUGGGUUAAGGACCCAUCUUUGGAUCCCACAUUGCUAUGGCAUGGGCUGGCAGCUGUAACUCCAAUUGUACUCCAGCCAGGGAACUUCCAUAUACCGCAUGUGUGGCCCUAGAAAGCAAUAAAUAAAUAAAUAAAUAAAGAUAUGACUUCUAGGCAAAGAGACCUGAUUAAAAAAUCGUGACCUAUCUAAAGGAACAAUGUGACUGUCAGAAGGGAGGUGGAUUUGCCACUGAAAUAUAAAAAAUGUACUCCAAAGGAAAAACAUUUUGUCUGUCCCAGUGCUAUCUAGGGGAGAGAAAAUCUGUCCCAGAGCUUUAAGUAUGUUCAUGUAUUCAGUCAUUAAUUCAUUUAUUCAUAUUCUCCCUCAAAAGAUAGAGUUGCAGGUCUUCUGUAUUAGCUGUAACUGGUUAUCAUUCCUUAUGAUUAGAAUCUCAAACUCCUGACUUGGAGACGGAUUUUCACACUCAACAAUUUGUCAUCUGAAGGGUAUGUUUGUUUAAUAAGAAUUUUAUGUUCUGUAAGAAUUAUGAAUUUGAGGAAAAUGAGAGAGAGGAAAAAAAGCAUAUAAUAAAACAGAUAGCACUGUUUUCUUGUGGAAUUCUGUAUAAAAUAUUGACAUUUCCGAAGGGCAUUUCUAUCUUUCUUUAAUUUUCCCGUGACUGCCCUAACCUAUCACACAUGACAUUAGUAACUUUCAUAAUAGCCUGUAAUAAGCCCAUAUUAAAGUUUUUGUUCUUGACAG